Molecule: long non-coding RNA, 1618 nt
Organism: Bubalus bubalis (water buffalo)
Lineage: Eukaryota; Metazoa; Chordata; Mammalia; Artiodactyla; Bovidae
Exons: 3
Source: RefSeq, a predicted model, not a curated record
GGAAGAAAUUAACUACUUGAUCAUAAGCCCCCAGACCUAGUGGCACCUCCUAAGUACUGAUACAGUUAACACCUAUGCAACAACCUUAUCUCCUCACCAUCAACCAAUCAGAGAACUGUGCAUGAGCUGAUCAUGUGCUCUGGGACAUCCCUCCCCUACGUGGCCUUUAUAAAUGCUUUGCUGAGCUGCUUAGAAAAGUUUGUUUUUUCUGGUGCUAGCUGCCUUGUACUUCUUGCUUGGUGCCACAAAAUAGACCUGCACUCUCCUUCACUGCAACCCAGUGUCAUUAGAGUGGCUUUGCUGUGCAUAGGUUUGGUCUGGUAACAGUUUGCCAUUAUUCUAAAAGCACUGUUUAGGACUUUUUUUUUUUUUUUUCAAACAAGGUGUAAGUGAACCACAGAGGACUGGAAAGAAUUGAAGAGACAGCUGAGUCUAAUCACUUCUUUAUGUGGUUGAAUAACGUCAGUUUCAAAAUGUUCAACCAACUUUCCCAAGGUUGUGUAACUGAUUAAUGUCUGAACUGAUCUAGAAGACUAAUUCAUGAAAAAAAUACUGUUGUUCUCUAACAUCCUGUGAAAUCAAAUUGGUAAGUGGAUAAUUUGGCAAAUUUAUUAUUUUCAAAGUGGCAAAUAUUUUCAUAUUUUUGGACCUAUAGUCUAUCAAAUUGUCAGUGUUUACCAAAAUGACUCAUGCAUCCCUUCAUUUUUAUCUAUACAUGGAUAGCAAAAUAGUGUUUUACUUUAUCAUGAUAAGGAUAACAAGAAUUAAAAGGACCUCAAAACUGAUACAUAAAGAUAUUAAAUUUAAUAUUUGUAAGGGAAUGACCUUCAAAGUCUUGGAGUCUUGUAUUGUUAUGUGUGUAUAUUUGUGUGUGGGAUUUAGUAUGGUAUGGACAUUAUAGUAUAAUCAGUAUUCUAGAGGAUGACUUAGAUUUUCUUAAAAAGCAAAAAAUAUUAAUGAAUGCAUUGUCUUGAAAUGACUAUAAGUCUUUUCAUGGGACUGAAAUAGGCUGAAAUAUAGUCAGCUAUAUUUUUUUAAAAUUCAUUGAAAAAAUUCUCUAUGUUGACUUUGACAAACAUUUUCUGUAUAAUAUUAAGAAAGUUUUCUAUUACUAGUAGGAAAAGUAUGCAGAAAUGUGUUAAGGAAAAAUAUAUAUGUUGUUGCAAACAAAUGCACACACGUAUAGGUUUGCAGCGCUAAAUGUAAUUUCUGGUUUGGAAGUUUGUUGUGUUAUAUUUUGGUUUUAUGAAUUCUCAUCACACUUGAGACUCAGUUCUGACUUCACAUUUGUGUAAUGUAUGUGGACUGUUUAAACUAUUAGCUUUUUUUUCUCACAACUUGUGAUUAUGGUACUUGAGAAUAAAAAGCAACACAGUCAUCUUAUUUUUUUCUGUUAGUAUUGUAAUUGAAAGAGUUUCAGUGUAAAUGUAUUAUCAUUUUGAGAUAAAGUAUUUCAUUAUUUUUAUUAGGGCAUUUUAAAAGUUUUUUAUAUUAUCUGCUAUAAUUCUUAAUUUAAUAUCUGAUGAUAUUUCUUUAUUUUGCAUGCUUUGUGAUUUUUAUUUGGUUCAAAUAUUGUCAAGGUGACAAAAAUCAAAAAAGAAAUGAAAAGAAUUAUUUG